GGUACUCGAGUGGCGAACGGGUGAGUAACACGUGGGUGAUCUGCCUUGCACUCUGGGAUAAGCUUGGGAAACUGGGUCUAAUACCGGAUAUGAACUGCCUUUAGUGUGGUGGUUGGAAAGUUUUUUCGGUGCAAGAUGAGCUCGCGGCCUAUCAGCUUGUUGGUGGGGUAAUGGCCUACCAAGGCGUCGACGGGUAGCCGGCCUGAGAGGGUGUACGGCCACAUUGGGACUGAGAUACGGCCCAGACUCCUACGGGAGGCAGCAGUGGGGAAUAUUGCACAAUGGGCGGAAGCCUGAUGCAGCGACGCCGCGUGGGGGAUGACGGCCUUCGGGUUGUAAACUCCUUUCGACAGGGACGAAGCUUUUUGUGACGGUACCUGUAUAAGAAGCACCGGCUAACUACGUGCCAGCAGCCGCGGUAAUACGUAGGGUGCGAGCGUUGUCCGGAAUUACUGGGCGUAAAGAGCUCGUAGGUGGUUUGUCGCGUCGUCUGUGAAAUUCCGGGGCUUAACUUCGGGCGUGCAGGCGAUACGGGCAUAACUUGAGUGCUGUA
RNAcentral lists this ribosomal RNA (553 nucleotides) under Corynebacterium sp. HFH0087. RNAcentral describes it as "bacterial SSU rRNA". It matches the Rfam family "Bacterial small subunit ribosomal RNA", at positions 86 to 653 of the family's 1533-position model. Lineage: Bacteria; Bacillati; Actinomycetota; Actinomycetes; Mycobacteriales; Corynebacteriaceae. RNAcentral also lists the same sequence under 1 other name. The record is from RNAcentral.